This is a long non-coding RNA of Cornus florida, 2124 nucleotides long. RefSeq lists it as uncharacterized. Lineage: Eukaryota; Viridiplantae; Streptophyta; Magnoliopsida; Cornales; Cornaceae. The transcript is spliced from 2 exons. The record is from RefSeq and is a predicted model, not a curated record.
AUGGGUGGCUGCCGAGUGGGAAUGGAGAAAGCAAUUGUGAUGGUGAUAGUGUGGGUCCCACGAUAUUUUUUAUGUGGCUUUAUUUUUGUAACUUUAUAUAUAUAUUUUGUGUGUGUUGUGAAGUGGAAAGAAAGAGAAGGUGUGGUGGAAAUUAGAGAUAAGGAGGAGAUGUGAGUAGGUGGCCGAAGUGGGAAGAGAGAAUUUUUUUUAAUGAUGGUGGUGUGUACUUGCGGGGCCCACAAUGUUAUUAUUUGGGCUUGACUUUUUGACUUUUGGGCAAAAUUGUUUUGCCUUCACAUGGUAUAUGAAAUGAUAAGAUUUUGGCAAAUCACUUUUUGACUUGAACUUGAUUUCUCUAUGUGGCUUUUGUAAGCUGAAAGUGGGAUUGUGUGGUGAUGAGAAGGAGAGAGAAAUGGGUUCAACUAUUUUAUUGCAAGGUGUAAUUGUUUUGUGUGGUGGGCUGAGAAGUAGAGGGAGCAGGUUGAUGAGAGAAGGAAAAGUUGUAAGGAUUUGGGACCUACUUGGCCUUUGCUUAGCUUUUUGCAUGUGGGGUUUGUUGGCUGAUUUUUUUUGUGAAGUUAGUGAAAUUGCUUAUUUAAGCGUGUGUUUUGUGCACUGACAGGUAUUGAAAGAAAGAGAGCAAAGUUGAAAUACAGAGAGAGUUUGCAGAUAGAGGGCUGAGAGUUUGAGGACAGAGAAGAGCUGAGUUUUCAGAGAGGGCCGGAGGUUUGCGGACUUGGUAAUCUAGUGAGGAAAUUCUUUUUCAGUUUUCAGGUACCGAGGAUGAACGGGGAUUGCUAGAUUCAGGCUUAGAUGGAAGAGUCGGCGUUGUAAGAUUUAAUUUAUUUAUUUGGAGAAUUUUUGUGUACAUCGAGGAAAUUGAUUUUGUAUAAAAGAGGGCAUUUUUUUAAUGAUCAUGGGUGUAUUUUGAUUUGUAUAAAUUGAAGAUUUUGUUUGAAAUUUCGGUUAGUGAUAGAUGAUACUGAGGAUAUUAGGAGACUAAAGGUAGAUUUGGCCAAGGAAUUUGAAAUUGAAGACUUGGGUGCCCUGCGAUAUUUUCUAGGUAUUGAAGUGGCUUGCUCAAAGUAGGGAAUCUUUGUUUCAUUGAGAAAGUAUAUACUUGAUCUUUUAACUGAGAUAGGGAUGUUAACCUACAAGCCUGUGGAUACUCCUAUCGAAUAGAAUCAUAGAUUGGGUGAACAAACUGAUGAUACACUUGCUAACAUAGAGAGAUAUCAAAUGUUGGUUGGAAAACUAAUAUAUUUGGCUCAUACACGACCUGAUAUAGCUUGUGCAGUGAGUCUUGUCAAUCAGUUCAUGCACGAGCCACGUUAAGUUCAUAUGCAGGCAGUAGAGAGGAUACUCAAAUACUUGAUAUCAACACCUGGUAAGGGUCUUUUGUUUUCUAAACAUGAUUACUCUGUAGUAUAGGCCUAUACAAAUGCUGAUUAGGCGGGUUUUAUUUCGGAUCGAAGAUCAACUACAAGAUAUUGCACAUUUGUGGGUGGCAUUAAUCUAGUUACUUAGUGGAAUAAGAAGCAAUCGGUUGUGGCUAGAUCUAGUGUCGAGGCUGAAUUCAGAGGUAUAGCCCACGGUGUCAUGGUGUAUGUGAAUUAUUAUGGUUGAAGAUUCUAUUGGGAGAAAUGAGGAUUGCUUGUCAAAGUCCUGUGAAGCUAUAUUGUGAUAAUAAAGCAAUCAUUAGCAUUGCUCAUAAUCCUGUGCAACAUGAUUGGAUUAAACAUAUUGAGAUUGAUAAACAGUUUAUCAAAGAGGAGUGGUGUGAUUUGCACUCCUUAGCUAUGUGAGGACCGAUGAUCAACUUGCUGAUAUUUUGACUAAAGGAGUCUCUAGCAAAGUGUAUGUUCAUUUAUGCUCUUGCCAAGUUGAGAAUCCAAAACAUUUAUUUUCCGGUUGAGGGGGAGUAUUGACAUAUAUAGAUAAUUAGUUAUACUAUUGACUAUAUAACUGUUAAAAUAUAUAGAUAAUUAGUUGUACAUGUGUUGAUUAACAUAAUUAUAGGAGCUGACUUUUAGCCUUUAAUUUCUUUCCUUCUUAAUUUGUAAUUAUUUGUGUCCUAUUUAAAUCCUCCACAAGGAGAAGAGUAUGCACGGUAAAUUAUUCCUA